AAAGGUUGAAAGCAUAAUGGUGUAAAAAAUGGGAUGCUUACAAAUAAAUGAAAGUAUGUUGCUAUUUCAAUCAUGUGUUAACCUUUUCAUUUACUACUUAAUUUCUUGAACGUACUUUGCUUAUUCGGUUACAAACAGUUUUAUGAUGCACCAGUUAAUGGAUGUAAGAAAGGAUAGAAUGAAACAACGAUGCCAACCAGUUCCAUUAUUUGGAUUACUUAUUUGAUAAAACUUUAUGAUGCACCGGUUAAUGUUUUGAAUAUUGCAAUGGUCCAUGCCACCUCCUUCGCCCAAUCACUUCCUUUUCAUCGAAGAUUUCGUUUGUUGACUCUCUCAGCGGUUUCCCGUUUCCAUUCCUGGCUUCCUCUUCUCACCUCUUUGUUAGGUUACAUUUCCAUUUCAUUGCAACUCUCUCACCUCUAAUUUCUUUUCCCAUUUUGGUUUUCGAGUUGACUAGGACCAAUGAAUUGGAUGCUGAUUACAAAUAUCUGUUCUUUCACCUUUAAAAUCCACAAAAAAAUUUUCAUUUGUAUGUAAGGUCGAUUACUUCAAUUUGGUUGCUUUUUAUAGUUUGUUUUUUUAAAUGGGCUGUCAGUUUUUUGAAAUUUGAUUAAAAUAUGUUUAUUUGCAGGGUUUAAUGUUGAGAUGGAGAACAUAUAUUGAACAGGAUUAGAGAAGAAAUUAUGAAGGCAGCAGAUGAGUACAAUGGAUUCAGUUUGGUAAUUUCUUUUGACUUCGAUCGACUCUUUUUUUCUUUCUACCAACUCCAUCCGCUUUUUCUACUUUGUUUCCGAAAUUGGAACGUGCUCUUCUUAUUAGCUUCGCUCACCACAUGUUGGAUAAAAUGCCUUUGAGGCAUUCGCAACAAUUGUAACCAGGAAGAGCCCUCUCAAUGCGAUUCCCUGAAAUGUAUAAAGAUCAAGAUUGUUGAUUGUGGAAUGUUGAAUAACACCUUCUUUCACUUUUGAGAUUAGGUCAACUAAAUUAGAAUUCCGCUAUUAUGGGUAAAAGAGUAAGCACAUUGUUAUUUUCGACAAUUUUCCCUUCAACUAAUAUGAUGACGUGUUCCAUUUUAGAGGAAUAUGAUGUACUUUCCAUAUAUCAUGCAGGACCUACUCUCAUGAAUAAUAUGAAAUGGCAAAACAUUAGUAUCCUCAAAACACUACAUUUGUCCAUACAGCUAGCUCAGAAGCUGAUCAAAACCUACGUAAGACAUAAUCUAGACUGUUAAGGACAACCAAUAAAUGUAUCACAUUUACCAUAAUAUCCAUGUAUUUUCAAUUUAAUGAUACUUAUGUCUUUUGUUUGUUGUAGUAACCAACCAUUUUGGAAAUCAUUUGUACUACCCUCAAAUGUAAUGUAAAAACCUAUGAGUUUGAAUCAAAUCUUUCAGAAGGUUAUCAGCCCAUGCGGAGCAUGGGUCUCCCACUAGUUUAUAUUAAAAAUAUAUAAAUAAAAAGAAUUAUAUUAAUAUUAGUUUUUUUUUUUGUAGAGAAAAAUAAAUUAUAUAUUUCACUAUAUUUUAUUUGAGUUUUUACUAAAUAUAAAAAGUAAAUAUUAACUAAAUUAGAUUAAAAUUUAAAAGUAAAUUUAAAUCCACCUAUCUAAUAAGGACACUUGGCAACAUAAAAAAAAAUAAAAAUGCACAAACCUUUUGGUUAACGGUUCAUUGGGGCAGUCUACAUCACCAAAUAUGUUUUAUUUUUACUUUUCUUUUUAUAUUUUUUUGGUGAGAUAAUCUCAAAAGAUCACCAAUGAGGAUAGUCUAAUGAACCGGAGACUAUUGGGAUAUAUAAUCUUUUUCUUCUCUUCUAAUAAAACAGUACUAAAAUUGUCACCUGGCAUUCCCUUAGCCAC
RNAcentral lists this long non-coding RNA (1857 nucleotides) under Lactuca sativa (garden lettuce). RNAcentral's name for it is "long non-coding RNA (LSAT_LNC003642)". Lineage: Eukaryota; Viridiplantae; Streptophyta; Magnoliopsida; Asterales; Asteraceae. The record is from RNAcentral.